This 756-nucleotide ribosomal RNA is filed under the name uncultured Sebacina. RNAcentral's name for it is "partial 28S ribosomal RNA". It matches the Rfam family "Eukaryotic large subunit ribosomal RNA", at positions 216 to 962 of the family's 3401-position model. The record is from RNAcentral. Lineage: Eukaryota; Fungi; Basidiomycota; Agaricomycetes; Sebacinales; Sebacinaceae.
GAAUCCCGUAUAUGGCACGGACUCCCGUUGCUCUGUGAUACACUCUCAACGAGUCGAGUUGUUUGGGAAUGCAGCUCUAAAUGGGUGGUAAAUGCCAUCUAAAGCUAAAUAUUGGCGAGAGACCGAUAGCGAACAAGUACCGUGAGGGAAAGAUGAAAAGCACUUUGGAAAGAGAGUGAAACAGUACGUGAAAUUGUUGAAAGGGAAACGCUUGAAGUCAGUCGCGCCGUUCGGGAUUCAGCCUUGCUUCUGCUCGGUUUACUUCCCGUUGGGUGGGUCAACAUCAGUUUCGGACGGAGGAGAAAGACUUGGGGAAGGUAGCAGCAUUCGUGCUGUGUUAUAGCCCCUUGUUGUAUACUUCGAUUGGGACUGAGGACCGCAGCACGCCUUUGGCCGGGGUUCGCCCACGUACGUGCUUAGGAUGUUGGCAUAAUGGCUUUAAGCGACCCGUCUUGAAACACGGACCAAGGAGUCUAACAUGUGCGCGAGUGUUUGGGUGUUAAACUCGGACGCGAAAUGAAAGUGAAAGGUUGGGAACACUUAUGUGUGCACCAACGCCCGGAGCUGACCUUCUGUGACGCAUCUGCGGUAGAGCGUAUAUGUUGGGACCCGAAAGAUGGUGAACUAUGCCUGAAUAGGGUGAAGCCAGAGGAAACUCUGGUGGAGGCUCGUAGCGAUUCUGACGUGCAAAUCGAUCGUCAAAUUUGGGUAUAGGGGCGAAAGACUAAUCGAACCAUCUAGUAGCUGGUUCCUGCC